GGUUUCCUUCGCAGGAGAGAUGAUGCCGUCCCCUAUUAUUAUUAUUAUAAUAAGGAUACGGCAUCGUCUCUCCGGCGACGGUAACC
Molecule: microRNA precursor, 86 nt
Filed under: Vriesea carinata
Lineage: Eukaryota; Viridiplantae; Streptophyta; Magnoliopsida; Poales; Bromeliaceae
Description: miR391 stem-loop (vca-MIR391)
Gene: vca-MIR391
Source: miRBase by way of RNAcentral